Hylaeus volcanicus is the source of this 813-nucleotide long non-coding RNA. RefSeq lists it as uncharacterized. The record is from RefSeq and is a predicted model, not a curated record. The transcript is spliced from 3 exons. NCBI's taxonomy places the organism in Eukaryota, Metazoa, Arthropoda, Insecta, Hymenoptera, Colletidae.
AAGAACACGAUAUGUUCCAUUAGAUGUUUGAGAAAUUUUAUUUUUUUCCAUCAAUUGCUGAAGUGUUUUAUGCACAUCUUGAAUAGUAACUUCUAAAAUAAGACCAAUGAUUUUUGUUAGUGAGAAAAAGAAAGACACAAAUGAUCUUACUUAAUCCACGCCCAAUUAAAUGAGCAAGAAGUUCUUCCGCAGACAUACCAUUUGGACGAAAACUGGACAUAUUCUUUAAUGUUUCAACUAAAUCCAUUGACAAAGACACCAAACUAGAGGAGUCAAUCAAAUCAUAUGAUCCGGGAAAUAUCGAUCCACCAUGCACUAAGGAAUCGAAUGGAUGGGAUAGCAAAUGUUUUGAAGUUUGUUUCUCUUCGGUUUUUUUAAUAAGUUUUACAAUAGGUUUAGGUGUGACACUUAAUGAUUGAUCUUAGACAGUGAAGGUUUACAGAAAAGUUUUGUUACUUUUUGAAAGAAAAGAAGUUUACCUGAAGCCAUCCACUGUGGUGUGGUAUUCGAUAUGGAAAGGUCAUCCGCUUGAAAUUUUUGGGGUACCUUCAAACUAUUGAAAAAAUAAUAUCAUGAUAAAAAAUUUCGUCAUUCAGAUCAAGACGAGCGACAAAGAAAGCAGACACAUGGGGUUCUAAAUGCCCAAAAUUCCUUCAUCCAAGGAGAAGGGUCAUUAUUAGGCAGUUCUGUAUGGCGAUAGGGUAGCCAGCCUACUUGAAUGAUGCCUAAUUGAAAAUAUAGAAACAAUCAUUGUAUAAAAAUUUUGUGAACCAGUCAAAAGAACAAAGUUACGUCUCAAUUGUGUGUAAGCAC